Molecule: ribosomal RNA, 425 nt
Filed under: uncultured bacterium
Lineage: Bacteria
Description: bacterial SSU rRNA
Rfam family: Bacterial small subunit ribosomal RNA
Source: RNAcentral
GGGGAAUUUUGGACAAUGGGCGCAAGCCUGAUCCAGCCAUGCCGCGUGUAUGAAGAAGGCCUUCGGGCUGUAAAGUACUUUUGUCAGGGAAGAAAAGCCUGAGGAUAACACCCUCAGGUCAUGACGGUACCUGAAGAAUAAGCACCGGCUAACUACGUGCCAGCAGCCGCGGUAAUACGUAGGGUGCGAGCGUUAAUCGGAAUUACUGGGCGUAAAGCGAGCGCAGACGGUUAUUUAAGCAAGAUGUGAAAGCCCCGGGCUCAACCUGGGAACUGCGUUUUGAACUGGGUAACUAGAGUGUGUCAGAGGGGGGUAGAAUUCCACGUGUAGCAGUGAAAUGCGUAGAGAUGUGGAGGAAUACCGAUGGCGAAGGCAGCCCCCUGGGAUAACACUGACGUUCAUGCUCGAAAGCGUGGGUAGCAAAC